RNAcentral lists this long non-coding RNA (1057 nucleotides) under Homo sapiens (human). RNAcentral's name for it is "HSALNT0405219". The record is from RNAcentral. Lineage: Eukaryota; Metazoa; Chordata; Mammalia; Primates; Hominidae.
GGCGGCGUGGGGACCAGCGCGGGCCGGGGCAGCUGGUACCUGGGAUCGGGCAGGACGGUCCUCUUGCUGGCGCGGGCGGCCGGAGUCGCCUUGCUCUUCUCCAUGGCCAUCAGGUAAUGAUGAAGCCCCUGCUCUGGUCCAAGCUACCUGUGAACAGCGCCCAGCGGGCCGGGCCCCCAACCUCGCUCCUGAACGUACCCGCAAGCCCGCCGUGAGAAUUCAGCGAAGAGUAAAGGCUGGAGAAAGUUGCGUGUCUCAGGCUAAGCAGAGCAAAGUGGGGUGAGGGCUUCGCCGCUAGGAACAGAGAUGCCCUUAGGGAGCCCCCUGAUGGAAGAGCUCUCUGCUUAAGAAGGUCAGCACGCCCUUACACUCAGUUUUACCACGUUUUUCAAGAUCCAAGGCACAAUAGGCAUAAAGUUAUCCUGAAAAGGACAAGAGGAGUGUCAGAAGUAGGAAUGGCAGUCGAAGGAGCUUCGUCUGGCAGCAGAAAGCCAAAAUGACAGGCAAGCACAAAAUAUAUUAAUGAGACAAAGCUAUGCAUGAGCGAAAUAUCAAACUUUCAUCUUCUACCCACUUUUUUUUUUUUUUGCUUAAAAAUAGGAAGACAGAAUGUCUUGUCAAGGGUCACCCCAGGAGGAGGAGUAAAUUCUCCAAAAAUCAGAACAUAUUUUUAUGAUUUAAUUAAUGCAAUUUCUCUCAAUGUUUCUGUUUGUCAUUUGAGCAUCCACAUGAUCAGACCUGACAUCUGCCUACAUUUUAUUGGUCAUCUUUGACUUCAGUUAAGAACCCUUUGGGUUUUGCUUUUUGCUUUUUUUUCCCCCCAGCAGCACACUGUAGUAAGUUUGGAACAAGACACACCUGAAAUCAAGUCCCUGCUCUGGGCUGGGUGAUCUUAGAGGCAAUCUCUUAACCUCAUUCUACUUUAUUGUUCUCAUAGGAAAAGUGGAAAUGAGGCCUUUUACCCCAGGGUUGUUGAGAAGACAGGGGAGAAAAAGCACAUAAAAAUGCACCUUGUCGGGCGCAGUGGCUCACACCUGUAAUCCUGCACUUUGGGAGU